Molecule: ribosomal RNA, 517 nt
Filed under: uncultured bacterium
Lineage: Bacteria
Description: bacterial SSU rRNA
Rfam family: Bacterial small subunit ribosomal RNA
Source: RNAcentral
AGUUUGAUUCUGGCUCAGAACGACGCUGGCGGCGCGUUUUAAGCAUGCAAGUCGAGCGGCAAGGGCCUUCGGGCCCCUAGAGCGGCGGACGGGUGAGUAACACGUGGACAAUCUGCCCCCCGGCCCGGGAUAGCCCAGGGAAACCUGGAUUAAUACCGGAUGAGACGGGACCCGCGAUGGCGGGACCCGGGAAAGGCGCUGCGGCGCCGCCGGGGGAUGAGUCUGCGUCCCAUUAGCUAGACGGCGGGGUAACGGCCCACCGUGGCGACGAUGGGUAGCCGGCCUGAGAGGGUGGACGGCCACAUUGGAACUGAGACACGGUCCAGACUCCUACGGGAGGCAGCAGCUAAGAAUCUUCCGCAAUGGGCGAAAGCCUGACGGAGCGACGCCGCGUGAACGAAGAAGGCCGUGAGGUUGUAAAGUUCUUUUCGGGAGGGGGAACAACCGUGGCAGGGAAUGGCCGCGGGAUGACGUGAAUCCCGGAAUAAGCCCCGGCUAACUACGUGCCAGCAGCUGC